This 1433-nucleotide ribosomal RNA is filed under the name uncultured organism. Its description in RNAcentral is "SSU rRNA". It matches the Rfam family "Bacterial small subunit ribosomal RNA". The record is from RNAcentral.
CGCUAGCGACAGGCUUAACACAUGCAAGUCGAGGGGCAGCACAGGUAGCAAUACCGGGUGGCGACCGGCGCACGGGUGAGUAACGCGUAUGCAACUUACCUAUCAGAGGGGGAUAACCCGGCGAAAGUCGGACUAAUACCGCAUGAAGCAGGGGCCCCGCAUGGGGAUAUUUGCUAAAGAUUCAUCGCUGAUAGAUAGGCAUGCGUUCCAUUAGGCAGUUGGCGGGGUAACGGCCACCAAACCGACGAUGGAUAGGGGUUCUGAGGGGAAGGUCCCCCACAUUGGUACUGAGACACGGACCAAACUCCUACGGGAGGCAGCAGUGAGGAAUAUUGGUCAAUGGCCGAGAGGCUGAACCAGCCAAGUCGCGUGAGGGAUGAAGGUUCUAUGGAUCGUAAACCUCUUUUAUAAGGGAAUAAAGUGCGGGACGUGUCCCGUUUUGUAUGUACCUUAUGAAUAAGGAUCGGCUAACUCCGUGCCAGCAGCCGCGGUAAUACGGAGGAUCCGAGCGUUAUCCGGAUUUAUUGGGUUUAAAGGGUGCGUAGGCGGCCUUUUAAGUCAGCGGUGAAAGUCUGUGGCUCAUCCAUACAAUUGCCGUUGAAACUGGGGGGCUUGAGUAUGUUUGAAGCACGCGGAAUGCGUGGUGUAGCGGUGAAAUGCAUAGAUAUCACGCAGAACCCCGAUUGCGAAGGCAGCCUGCCAAGCCAUUACUGACGCUGAUGCACGAAAGCGUGGGGAUCAAACAGGAUUAGAUACCCUGGUAGUCCACGCAGUAAACGAUGAUCACUAGCUGUUUGCGAUACACUGUAAGCGGCACAGCGAAAGCGUUAAGUGAUCCACCUGGGGAGUACGCCGGCAACGGUGAAACUCAAAGGAAUUGACGGGGGCCCGCACAAGCGGAGGAACAUGUGGUUUAAUUCGAUGAUACGCGAGGAACCUUACCCGGGUUUGAACGCAUUCGGACCGAGGUGGAAACACCUUUUCUAGCAAUAGCCGUUUGCGAGGUGCUGCAUGGUUGUCGUCAGCUCGUGCCGUGAGGUGUCGGCUUAAGUGCCAUAACGAGCGCAACCCUUGCCACUAGUUACUAACAGGUGAUGCUGAGGACUCUGGUGGGACUGCCAGCGUAAGCUGCGAGGAAGGCGGGGAUGACGUCAAAUCAGCACGGCCCUUACAUCCGGGGCGACACACGUGUUACAAUGGCGUGGACAAAGGGAGGCCACCUGGCGACAGGGAGCGAAUCCCCAAACCACGUCUCAGUUCGGAUCGGAGUCUGCAACCCGACUCCGUGAAGCUGGAUUCGCUAGUAAUCGCGCAUCAGCCAUGGCGCGGUGAAUACGUUCCCGGGCCUUGUACACACCGCCCGUCAAGCCAUGGGAGCCGGGGGUACCUGAAGUCCGUAACCGAAAGGAUCGGCCUAGGGUAAAACUGGUGAC